CAUGUCCUUUUGAUAAUUAAUUUUAGGUUUAAUCUGCUCAAUGAUUAUUAUUAAAUGGCCGUGGUAUACUGACUGUGCAAAGGUAGCAUAAUAAUUAGUUUUUUAAUUGUAAACUGGUAUGAAUGGUUGGACAAGGGAUUUUCUGUCUCUUUGAUAUUUAUUUUGAAUUUAACUUUUUAGUAAAAAGUCUAAAAUUUGUCUUAAAGACGAGAAGACCCUAUAGAGUUUUACAUAUUUGAUUUUGAGGGUUUUCUGGAAUUUUUUUAUUUUCAUUUCUAUUUUGUUUAAUUGGGGUGAUUGGGGAAUUAAUUUAACUUCUUUAUCUAUUUUUUACUAAUAAGUAUUUAUUUUGUCUAAAUUUUUUAAGUUUAAAUUAAAUUACCUUAGGGAUAACAGCGUUAUUUCUUUUUUGAGUUCUUAUUGUUAAAGAAGUUUGCGACCUCGAUGUUGGAUUAAAAUUUAUGUUGGGUGUAGUGGUUUAAACAUUUAAGUCUGUUCGACUUUUGAAAUUUUACAUGAUCUGAGU
Molecule: ribosomal RNA, 526 nt
Filed under: Microselasia pseudograndis
Lineage: Eukaryota; Metazoa; Arthropoda; Insecta; Coleoptera; Elateridae
Description: partial large subunit ribosomal RNA
Rfam family: Bacterial large subunit ribosomal RNA (bases 389-526)
Source: RNAcentral